CCCUUAGAUGUUCUGGGCCGCACGCGCGCUACACUGAUGCAUUCAACGAGCCUAUCCUUGACCGACAGGUCCGGGUAAUCUUUGAAUCUGCAUCGUGACGGGGAUAGAUUAUUGCAAUUAUUAAUAUUCAACGAGGAAUGCCUAGUAGGCGCAAGUCAUCAGCUUGCGUCGAUUACGUCCCUGCCCUUUGUACACACCGCCCGUCGCUCCUACCGAUUGGGUGUGCUGGUGAAAUGUUCGGAUCGGCCGUUUGUCGCGGUUUCCGCGGCUCGUGGCUGAGAAGUUCAUUAAACCCUCCCACCUAGAGGAAGGAGAAGUCGUAACA
RNAcentral lists this ribosomal RNA (325 nucleotides) under uncultured eukaryote. RNAcentral's name for it is "partial 18S ribosomal RNA". It matches the Rfam family "Eukaryotic small subunit ribosomal RNA", at positions 1470 to 1796 of the family's 1831-position model. The record is from RNAcentral.